UGUAACUAAUCAUGUAACAGUCUUUAAAAACAGGGAAAACAUGGAAGUGUUUGGUGGCUUCUAAAUAAUUCCCUGUUUGGAUCCUAAGGAAUGAAUGGUGCUAAGCUAAUCGCUAACAUAGCGGUGCCGCACACUACAGAAAUUAAGUGCAUGCGCUGAGACAGGAGAGGUUGUUCCAAUGCUCCUUACCAAUGGGUGAUUACUGCGCCAUACCUCACGCUACAACUAGAUUAAAGAAUUUGAUCAUGCAAAUGCUCAUUUCAGGGCAAUAAGUUUUUGUGUUGCAGGACUAGUUUGAUUAUUGUUACUUUAUUUUUAUUGUGGUGAAUUGCUAAGUUUUUGUAUACGGUGAAUUUGUAAAAUUUUAUAUAGUUUUCUCUUUUCUUCAAGUAACAAAGUAUCCUCUUAACACCUCAAUGGUCUUUCCUGCAAGUGUACUACACAUCAGUGCAAUUUCUGGCCAGAGGGAAAAUCUAUCUGUUACUAUGUUACAACUCAUGGUGGUCUAAUUCUGUGAGGAAAAUGCUGGUGUACUGUUAUUCUCUGACAUUUCUUCAGGGCACACUUCAGAAUAGGGCUGAAAGGAGAAAAAAGAUUGACCAGCUGCAACUGCUACAUCAACAAGAUGGCGUCUGCACACAACAGAAAUCAUGUUUCUAUGUGUCAUCUUUUGCUUCAUUUAGGUG
Long non-coding RNA from Carassius auratus (goldfish), 686 nucleotides. RefSeq lists it as uncharacterized. Lineage: Eukaryota; Metazoa; Chordata; Actinopteri; Cypriniformes; Cyprinidae. The transcript is spliced from 3 exons. The record is from RefSeq and is a predicted model, not a curated record.